This 22-nucleotide non-coding RNA is filed under the name Arabidopsis thaliana (thale cress). Lineage: Eukaryota; Viridiplantae; Streptophyta; Magnoliopsida; Brassicales; Brassicaceae. The record is from RNAcentral.
UGAAAUCUGGUGCUCAUGUACG